RNAcentral lists this ribosomal RNA (2769 nucleotides) under Sporisorium scitamineum. RNAcentral's name for it is "bacterial LSU rRNA". It matches the Rfam family "Bacterial large subunit ribosomal RNA". The record is from RNAcentral. Lineage: Eukaryota; Fungi; Basidiomycota; Ustilaginomycetes; Ustilaginales; Ustilaginaceae.
AGGGAUUAUUAGGGAUGCCUAGCAGAUAUGUUGAAAAGGAAGUAGAAUACUAAAAGUAUAGAUACAAUCAGAAUAUUUAUACAAUCCUAAGGUAAACCGAAUAGUAUAGAACGUUGGGAAGUAAAACAUUACAGUACCAAUAGGAAAGGAAAUCAAAAGAGACUCUGGGAGUAAUGGUGAGUGAAACCAGAAUAGCCAAAAUUUUUACUAACACGCAUAGUACUUUGGAAUAAGUAGACAUUAAAAUAGUGACAACAUUAUUUUCUGGGCGCCCAUAGAAGGUGAAAGUCCUGUAUGUGAUGAAAGUAAAGAUGUUAUUAAGUAAUAUGAGGACGUCAGCCUUGUAUGAAUAAGGGGGUACCAUCCUCCAAGGCUAAGUAUAACAUAUCUAGCGAUAGUGAAGAGUAACGUGAGUGAAAGGUGAAAAGUAAGUAGAUGACUAGUGAAAUAGAACCUGAACUAGUAAUCCUAUAAGCAGUUGGAGUUUUAGUAAGAAAUGACAACGUACCUUUUGCAUAAUGGGUCAGCGAGUUAGUUUAUAGAGCAAGAUGAAUAAUCUAAGCGAAAGCGACUAUAAUAAGUGGAUCAAGAAUAGUUUUAUGAACUAGACCCGAAGCCAAAUGAUCUUACCAUGGCCAGGCUAAAAAAGGGCCGAACAGGUGAAUGUUGCAAAAUUCUCUGAUGAGCUGUGGUAAGGGGUGAAAGGCCAAUCUAAUUUGGAUGAUAGCUGGUAUUCUGCGAAACCUAUUUAGGUAGGGCCUCUAUUUACAUUUUUAUAUGUACAGCACUGAUCAUCAUACAUUAGCCAGAUAUUUAAUAUCACUAUGUUAAAUUGGGGGGUUUCACAACUCUACCAUUGAUGGUUAACCUCGGAAGGAUAAUAAUGAAUGAUAGGGGCACAGUCUAUUCAUGAUAAGGUGGAUAGACAAAAGGGAAACAGCCCAGAGCACGUGUUAAGGUCCCAAAAUAUUGUUAAGUGAAUAUAAGAAAGUUUAACUCCUAAUACAACCAUGAAGUAGGCUUGGAGGUAGCCAUCUUUUAAUGAUAGUGUAACAACUCAGUGGUCUAACUUGAGGAGAGAAGCGUCGAAAAUUAACGGGUCUUAGACAAUAUACCUACACCGUGACUAUUUAUAAUAUUUAUUACUUUUUAUUAUAAGUAAGGGUAGCAGAACACUCAGUAUCUGAUUGAAGGAAAAUGUUUCAUUUUCUGGACAGUACUGAAGAGAAAAUGCUGACAUGAGUAACGUAGAAAGGAGUUAAAACACUCCUCGCCGAAUACGAGAGGGUUUCAUGGAGAAGUUAAUCUGCCAUGAGUUAUACGGACUCUAAGGAUUAUAGGCGAACGUCUAUAUCUGAUGAGAAUUACUACCAAUAUACACUGAAUUGUCUAUAUAUAAUAACCAUUUCUCUGUACGAAAAUUUACAGAGUGCAUAUAAAUGGCUAGAUCGAGAAAAAUAAGUGUCACUAGAUUUAUAGUGAAUCCGUACCCUAAACCGACACAGGUUCGUAGGUAGAGAAUACUAAGGCGUAGAGAUAAUGCUUGUGAAGGAACUCGGCAAAUUGUGCCCGUAAGUUAGACGAUAAGGGUAACCAGAAUAAAUAAUUAUAUUCUAAUUCUGAGUGUCACAAAAUCGAGGGCUGCGACUGUUUACCAAAAACACAGCAACUUGCUAAGACGAAUAGUACUUGUAUAAGUUGUGAACUCUGCCCAAUGCCAUGUCGUGUAAAGAAGGUGAUCUAUUUCUAGUGAAACAAAAUUUUACUAAAUAGUGUCACUAACUGAUGCCAUGGUGAAUGGCGGUCUUAACUAUAAGGAUCUGAAAGUAGCGAAAUUCCUUGGCCAUUAAAUGUGGUCCUGCAUGAAUGAGGUAACGUGGCCCUGCUGUCUCCACAAGCAUCUCAGUGAAAUUGAAUUAGCCGUGCAGAUGCGGUUUACCUUCAGUUAGACGGGAAGACCCUAUGCAGCUUUACUGUAGCUUGAUAUUGUUUCUUCUAUAGCUAGGUGUAGUAUACAAGGGAGUAGAUCUUUUUCUACGUCAGUGAAAUACCUUGACUAGUCUAAAGAAAAGACUUACCUAAUGCUAGUUAUAAACUAGUUCCUUAUGAAAAAUUGCUAUAAUUUUCUAGUUAAUUCUCUCUAAAUUCUAUAGAUGUAGAAGAGUUUUCUCUUUUUUCUAUAAAGAUUUUCCUCUAUUCCAUUUUUAAUACAGCCCUUUAAUAGAAAUAUUAAUUGGAAUAUUUUGUAAUAAAUAUAGACUGUAUAUAAAGAACUAGAAUAUUUCUUAGCUGGGAAAAUAUCAGGUGGUCAGUUUGACUGGGACGGUAGCCUCUAAUAAAGUAUCAGAGGCCUUCAAAGGUAUGCAUAUAUUGGUCAGAAACCAAUGAACUAUGUAAAGUUUAUUAAAGCGUAAUAGUAUAAGCAUGCUUGACUGAAAGACUGAUAGGUCGAUCAGAUACGCAAGUAGGAUAUAGUGAUCCGGUGAUUCAUAAUGGAAUGGUCAUCGCUCAAGAAAUAAAAGUUACGCUAGGGAUAAACUGUUGUCCCUAUCUAUUUAUUUUUUAUGUUAAAUAUUGAAAUAGCUACUAAAUCUAUCUAUAUUUAUAUAUUUAUAACCGCUAUAACAUAAAAGUAAGUAGAUACAAAAUCGGGUGAAUUGCAAGGACAUCUUAUCUUUAGAUAAGACAAUUUGCAGCUAAGCUUAAGUCAGUGUAUAUCUAAUAAUAAAAAUUAGAUAGUGAUUUAAGAAAGUUCAACGACUAAUCGGU